This 895-nucleotide non-coding RNA is filed under the name Trichomonas vaginalis G3. Its description in RNAcentral is "Eukaryotic small subunit ribosomal RNA". It matches the Rfam family "Eukaryotic small subunit ribosomal RNA", at positions 1 to 1095 of the family's 1831-position model. Lineage: Eukaryota; Parabasalia; Trichomonadida; Trichomonadidae. The record is from Rfam by way of RNAcentral.
UACUUGGUUGAUCCUGCCAAGGAAGCACACUUAGGUCAUAGAUUAAGCCAUGCAAGUGUUAGUUCAGGUAACGAAACUGCGAAUAGCUCAUUAAUACGCUCAGAAUCUAUUUGGCGGCGACCAACAGGUCUUAAAUGGAUAGCAGCAGCAACUCUGGUGCUAAUACAUGCGAUUGUUUCUCCAGAUGUGAAUUAUGGAGGAAAAGUUGACCUCAUCAGAGGCACGCCAUUCGACUGAGUGACCUAUCAGCUUGUACUUAGGGUCUUUACCUAGGUAGGCUAUCACGGGUAACGGGCGGUUACCGUCGGACUGCCGGAGAAGGCGCCUGAGAGAUAGCGACUAUAUCCACGGGUAGCAGCAGGCGCGAAACUUUCCCACUCGAGACUUUCGGAGGAGGUAAUGACCAGUUCCAUUGGUGCCUUUUGGUACUGUGGAUAGGGGUACGGUUUUCCACCGUACCGAAACCUAGCAGAGGGCCAGUCUGGUGCCAGCAGCUGCGGUAAUUCCAGCUCUGCGAGUUUGCUCCCAUAUUGUUGCAGUUAAAACGCCCGUAGUCUGAAUUGGCCAGCAAUGGUCGUACGUAUUUUUACGUUCACUGUGAACAAAUCAGGACGCUUAGAGUAUGGCCACAUGAAUGACUCAGCGCAGUAUGAAGUCUUUGUUUUCUUCCGAAAACAAGCUCAAUGAGAGCCAUCGGGGGUAGAUCUAUCUCAUGACGAGUGGUGGAAUACUUUGACUCAUGAGAGAGAAGCUGAGGCGAAGGCGUCUACCUAGAGGGUUUCUGUCGAUCAAGGGCGAGAGUAGGAGUAUCCAACAGGAUUAGAGACCCUGGUAGUUCCUACCUUAAACGAUGCCGACAGGAGUUUGUCAUUUGUUAAUGGCAGAAUCUUGGAGA